This 468-nucleotide ribosomal RNA is filed under the name uncultured bacterium. Its description in RNAcentral is "partial 16S ribosomal RNA". It matches the Rfam family "Bacterial small subunit ribosomal RNA", at positions 28 to 507 of the family's 1533-position model. The record is from RNAcentral.
GACGAACGCUGGCGGCGUGCUUAACACAUGCAAGUCGAACGGAAAGGCCCUGCUUUUGUGGGGUGCUCGAGUGGCGAACGGGUGAGUAACACGUGAGUAACCUGCCCUUCACUUUGGGAUAACUUCAGGUAACUGGGGCUAAUAUCGGAUAGGAUCUCCUGCUGCAUGGUGGGGGUUGGAAAGUUUCGGCGGUUGGGGCUGGACUCGCGGCUUAUCAGCUUGUUGGUGGGGUAGUGGCUUACCAAGGCUUUGACGGGUAGCCGGCCUGAGAGGGUGACCGGCCACAUUGGGACUGAGAUACGGCCCAGACUCCUACGGGAGGCAGCAGUGGGGAGUAUUACACAAUGGGCGGGAGCCUGAUGCAGCAACGCCGCGUGCGGGAUGACGGCCUUCGGGGUGUAAACCGCUUUCGCCUGUGACGAAGCGUGAGUGACGGUAAUGGGUAAAGAAGCACCGGCUAACUACGUG